Gambusia affinis (western mosquitofish) is the source of this 565-nucleotide long non-coding RNA. RefSeq lists it as uncharacterized. The record is from RefSeq and is a predicted model, not a curated record. The transcript is spliced from 2 exons. Lineage: Eukaryota; Metazoa; Chordata; Actinopteri; Cyprinodontiformes; Poeciliidae.
GCAGCCCUAUCUAUUAUUCUUGGUCCUCCAGCCACCUCUCAUCUCUCCGUUGAUCUCCAGCCCUCCCUCUCGUUUUUUCCUUCGUUUCUGAUACUUCCCGACCUGUGCUCACCAAAAGAAAACCUCGAAUCCUUUAACGGAAAGAUUGAGUACGGCAGUACGGCUUCUGAACGCAACAGGUAUCAUCUACAGUAAGCCUGCCCAGCCUACAAAAGAAGCACCCCUUCUCAUCAUGACGUCUGUGAAGUCGUGGUUUCCCAGUUUCAAUUCUACCCCAAAAGCGUUGAGCCUCGUGACCCCAGCCACACUCCUCCCUGAGGAAGGGCACCACCUGGAAAUACAGACCAUUGUGGUUAUUUUCAUUUUCUGUGUUGUCUGCUUGCUUCUCCUGGUGGCCUUCUUUUAUGCCUCCUGCUUCCACUUUUCCAUCGGUUCAUCUCGGAAGGAGUCACAUUCGGCUAACAGAAGCAGCCUAGAGCCAGAGGACACCACAUAUAGGCUCAGCUCAUUUGAAAUCCAGUCAGUACAAGACUGACUGAUAAGAACAAUAAAAGUAAGAACUAUA